Molecule: ribosomal RNA, 800 nt
Filed under: uncultured Bacillota bacterium
Lineage: Bacteria; Bacillati; Bacillota
Description: bacterial SSU rRNA
Rfam family: Bacterial small subunit ribosomal RNA
Source: RNAcentral
CAGCGUUAUCCGGAUUUACUGGGUGUAAAGGGCGAGUAGGCGGAUUGGCAAGUUGGGAGUGAAAUGUCGGGGCUUAACCCCNGGAACUGCUUCCAAAACUGUUGAUCUUGAGUGAUGGAGAGGCAGGCGGAAUUCCCAGUGUAGCGGUGAAAUGCGUAGAUAUUGGGAGGAACACCAGUGGCGAAGGCGGCCUGCUGGACAUUAACUGACGCUGAGGAGCGAAAGCGUGGGGAGCAAACAGGAUUAGAUACCCUGGUAGUCCACGCCGUAAACGAUGGAUACUAGGUGUGGGAGGUAUUGACCCCUUCCGUGCCGCAGUUAACACAUUAAGUAUCCCACCUGGGGAGUACGACCGCAAGGUUGAGACUCAAAGGAAUUGACGGGGGCCCGCACAAGCAGCGGAGCAUGUGGUUUAAUUCGAAGCAACGCGAAGAACCUUACCUAGACUUGACAUCUCCUGCAUUACUCUUAAUCGAGGAAGUCCCUUCGGGGACAGGAUGACAGGUGGUGCAUGGUUGUCGUCAGCUCGUGUCGUGAGAUGUUGGGUUAAGUCCCGCAACGAGCGCAACCCUUAUUGUUAGUUGCCAUCAUUAAGUUGGGCACUCUAGCGAGACUGCCCGGGUUAACCGGGAGGAAGGUGGGGAUGACGUCAAAUCAUCAUGCCCCUUAUGUCUAGGGCUACACACGUGCUACAAUGGUCGGUACAAUAAGACGCAAGCCCGCGAGGGGGAGCAAAACUGGAAAACCGAUCUCAGUUCGGAUUGUAGGCUGAAGCUCGCCUACAUGAAGCUGGAGUUGCU